RNAcentral lists this ribosomal RNA (253 nucleotides) under uncultured prokaryote. Its description in RNAcentral is "partial 16S ribosomal RNA". It matches the Rfam family "Bacterial small subunit ribosomal RNA", at positions 524 to 776 of the family's 1533-position model. The record is from RNAcentral.
CACGUAGGAGGCAAACGUUAUCCGGAUUUACUGGGCGUAAAGCGCGUGUAGGUCGUUUUUUAAGUCUGAUGUGAAAGCCCUGGGCUCAACCCGGGAAGUGCAUUGGAAACUGGGAGACUUGAAUACGGGAGAGGGCAGUGGAAUUCCUGGUGUAGGAGUGAAAUCCGUAGAUAUCAGGAGGAACACCGGUGGCGAAGGCGGCUGCCUGGACCGAUAUUGACGCUGAGACGCGAAAGCGUGGGGAGCAAACAGG